RNAcentral lists this transfer RNA (74 nucleotides) under Stegodyphus mimosarum. It matches the Rfam family "tRNA". From Rfam's summary of the family: Transfer RNA (tRNA) molecules are approximately 80 nucleotides in length. Their secondary structure includes four short double-helical elements and three loops (D, anti-codon, and T loops). The record is from Rfam by way of RNAcentral. Lineage: Eukaryota; Metazoa; Arthropoda; Arachnida; Araneae; Eresidae.
GCCUUCGUGGUGCAGUGGUCAGCGCGCUCGACGCGUAUUCUAGGAGAUCCGUGGUUCGAGUCCCGGCGAGGGCA